UCACGUCUUACGACGGCAGUUUCACUAGAGUUCCCAGCGUUACCUGAUGGCAACUAGUGAUGGGGGUUGCGCUCGUUGCGGGACUUAACCCAACACCUCACGACACGAGCUGACGACAGCCAUGCAGCACCUGUGUUCCAGUUCCCUUUCGGGCACAGCCGCCUUUCAGCAGCCUUCCGGACAUGUCAAGGGUAGGUAAGGUUUUUCGCGUUGCGUCGAAUUAAACCACAUCAUCCACCGCUUGUGCGGGCCCCCGUCAAUUCCUUUGAGUUUUAGCCUUGCGGCCGUACUCCCCAGGCGGGAUACUUAACGCGUUAGCUUCGCUACCGAGAGGGUCGAUACUCCCGACAGCCAGUAUCCAUCGUUUACGGCGUAGACUAC
This 381-nucleotide unclassified non-coding RNA is filed under the name uncultured bacterium. RNAcentral's name for it is "contains 16S-23S intergenic spacer region". The record is from RNAcentral.